AGAGUUUGAUCAUGGCUCAGAUUGAACGCUGGCGGCGUGCCUAACACAUGCAAGUCGAGCGGUAACAGGUGUAGCAAUACAUGCUGACGAGCGGCGAACGGGUGAGUAAUGCUUUGGAAUCUUCCCAGUAGUGGGGAAUAACCAGUCGAAAGAUUGGCUAAUACCGCAUACGUCUGUAAAGGGAAAGCGGGGGCUCGUAAGACCUCGCGCUAUUGGAUGAGCCAAAGUCGGAUUAGCUAGUUGGUGGGGUAAUGGCCUACCAAGGCGACAAUCCGUAGCUGGUCUGAGAGGACGACCAGCCACACCGGAACUGAGACACGGUCCGGACUCCUACGGGAGGCAGCAGUGGGGAAUAUUGGACAAUGGGGGAAACCCUGAUCCAGCGACGCCGCGUGUGUGAAGAAGGCCUGCGGGUUGUAAAGCACUUUUAGUGGGGACAAAAAGCUACGGAUUAAUACUCUGUGGUCUUGAUUUAACCCAAAGAAAAAGCACCGGCUAACUCUGUGCCAGCAGCCGCGGUAAUACAGAGGGUGCGAGCGUUAAUCGGAAUUACUGGGCGUAAAGCGCGCGUAGACGGUUUUGUAAGUCAGAUGUGAAAUCCCUGGGCUCAACCUGGGAACUGCAUUUGAAACUGCAUGGCUAGAGUAUCGAAGAGGGAAGUGGAAUUUCCGGUGUAGCGGUGAAAUGCGUAGAUAUCGGAAGGAACACCAGUGGCGAAAGCGACUUCCUGGUCGAAUACUGACGUUCAUGUGCGAAAGCGUGGGGAGCAAACAGGAUUAGAUACCCUAGUAGUCC
Molecule: ribosomal RNA, 795 nt
Filed under: uncultured bacterium
Lineage: Bacteria
Description: bacterial SSU rRNA
Rfam family: Bacterial small subunit ribosomal RNA
Source: RNAcentral